UGGAAGAAGACCUGCAUAGUGAAAGUGU
This 28-nucleotide non-coding RNA is filed under the name Mus musculus (house mouse). The record is from RNAcentral. Lineage: Eukaryota; Metazoa; Chordata; Mammalia; Rodentia; Muridae.